RNAcentral lists this microRNA precursor (61 nucleotides) under Pristionchus pacificus. RNAcentral's name for it is "mir-8364 microRNA precursor family". It matches the Rfam family "mir-8364 microRNA precursor family". The record is from Rfam by way of RNAcentral. Lineage: Eukaryota; Metazoa; Nematoda; Chromadorea; Rhabditida; Neodiplogasteridae.
UCUCCAUUUCACAUACUCUCUCGCCUCUCUGACCGGUGAGAGAGUGUGUGAAAUGGAGAAA